RNAcentral lists this ribosomal RNA (484 nucleotides) under uncultured bacterium. RNAcentral describes it as "partial 16S ribosomal RNA". It matches the Rfam family "Bacterial small subunit ribosomal RNA", at positions 30 to 507 of the family's 1533-position model. The record is from RNAcentral.
AUUGAACGCUGGCGGCAGGCCUAACACAUGCAAGUCGAGCGGAUGAAGGGAGCUUGCUCCUGGAUUCAGCGGCGGACGGGUGAGUAAUGCCUAGGAAUCUGCCUGGUAGUGGGGGAUAACGUCCGGAAACGGGCGCUAAUACCGCAUACGACCUGAGGGAGAAAGUGGGGGGUCUUCGGACCUCACGCUAUCAGAUGAGCCUAGGUCGGAUUAGCUAGGUGGUGGGGUAAAGACUUACCAAGCGGACGAUCCGUAACUGGACUGAGCGGAGGAUUGUUCACACUGGAACUGGGACACGGGCCAGACUCCUACGGGAGGCAGCAGUGGGGAAUAUUGGACAAUGGGCGAAAGCCUGAUCCAGCCAUGCCACGUGUGUUGAGAAAGUCUUCGGAUUUGGAAGCACUUUAAGUUGGGAGGAAGGGCAGUAAGUUAAGACCUUGCUGUUUUGACGUUACCAGCAGAAUAAGCACCGGCUAACUUCGUG